UGUGUGUAUGUGUGUGUGUGUAUGUGCGUGUGUGUAUAUGUGUAUGUGUGUGCAUAAACACACACAUACACAUAUAUAUA
This 80-nucleotide microRNA precursor is filed under the name Tupaia belangeri (northern tree shrew). RNAcentral describes it as "miRNA (ENSTBEG00000019800.1)". The record is from RNAcentral. Lineage: Eukaryota; Metazoa; Chordata; Mammalia; Scandentia; Tupaiidae.